UUAUUAUAGAUUUCUUUCUUUUCAUUUUCUGAAAGUUUUGUAUUUUGUCUUAGAAUACCUUGGAAUGCGAUGUUAAUGAGAACAGUUUCAGACUACUGUAUGUUUAGAUAAGCACUGGAUAUUGAAGAAGAAGCAUGAUAUGGAGGACUCCGGAAUGCAUGAAACCAUCUGUACUUUCUUACGGAUUUUGCUUUCUUUUUCCUCUCAUCUGUAGUCCAGAAGGUGUGGAGAGUUGAUGGGCGUGAAUCUGAUAAUGGUUGAUCAAAAGCCGCAGUCAACAAAGCAACAUAGCUUCUGUUCAGGCUCCGAGACACUGAAACCGCCGUCAUGUAUCCUAUGGCAUUCACAACCCUUCUGUAUUCAGAUCCAUGAUCAAUUUGAUGGGGUGGUGGUGAUGACGGUGGCAGAGGAGGGGUUGCAGUGGUGGUGCUCAUGAAGAGCAUAUCGGGCAUGGAGAAUCAGAAGAUGGCGAGGGACCGGAGAAGAUGUGGAAUGGUUCGUCGACCAGUGACAUGGAACAGAUGGAUCUGGGACUAUUCUAAUGAUCACCACUAUUCUAUUUAACUGGGAUUGCUUUCAUACGUAAGUUGUUGUUUAUCAUAGUUUUAAGAAUAUUUGUCUGUGUUUAAGAUUUAAGAUUACACUUUUUGGUUUUAACCUUAUCACAAACUCAGUCCAAAACAUGGAGAAUUCUUUUUUACCAAAU
Molecule: long non-coding RNA, 706 nt
Organism: Brassica napus (rape)
Lineage: Eukaryota; Viridiplantae; Streptophyta; Magnoliopsida; Brassicales; Brassicaceae
Exons: 3
Source: RefSeq, a predicted model, not a curated record